Long non-coding RNA from Polyodon spathula (Mississippi paddlefish), 1018 nucleotides. RefSeq lists it as uncharacterized. The record is from RefSeq and is a predicted model, not a curated record. The transcript has 2 exons. NCBI's taxonomy places the organism in Eukaryota, Metazoa, Chordata, Actinopteri, Acipenseriformes, Polyodontidae.
UCAGUCUUCAUAAGAGACUCGGCAAAUGUCCAUAAGGGUUUGAAUUGAUGAAAUAGUCUUUAUUUCAGGGCCACAUGUUAGGAAGACUGAUGUGAUACAAAAAGAGAUGGAACAUCCAUUAGCAAGUGACAGAAUAUAAACCAGAAGAAGAAAAUGAAGCAAAUAUGGUGGCAAAAGAUUGUGCUACUGUAGUGCCAUUGGAUAACAAUGCAUUAGUCAGUGCUGACUAAUGCACAUAUAGGCCCUACUUCGGAAAAAGCACAAAGGCAACAAAGGCAGCUUCAAAAUACAGUUUUAAAAAUCCAUGUUAGCCUUUAUGGCAUUGUAGUAUCUUGUAUCUAUGCUUGUAUCAUCCAUUUGAAAUACUAAACAAUGAAUCUGUACCAGUUGAGUGGUUGGCUACCGUAGGACAAAUGCAUUCCCUGUGCAGUCUGCUUUCUCUAGAUGUGCAGUAGGCCAUACAUCUCAGUUCUAGUCUUCACAAUGAUCACUAAUGUAAGGCAGAGCAUCAGUUCAGAGCCAGGAACCCCUGUUGUGUUGAUGGCUGUGGGAAGAGCACACAAGGGAUGGCGCUAGAGUCACUUAAGGUCAUUCUACAUAAUGCAUGCACUAUCAUUAAAUCAACCUGCGACUAGGCCUGCACUCCACUGUAGAUCUCAGCGGUGCGAUGGCAGCUGAUCAAGGCAACACAUUCAUGCACUGUUCUACAUAGACACACAAAAUACACUGUUGGAUUAAAUAAGCUGAAUCAUGUGACGUGCUUUGUGACUAAUGGUCAUAUAUAAGGCCCAGAGAAGUUAGCUGUUAUUGGACUAUAAAAUGAGUAGAAGAGUUUAAGCAUAAUGUUAUACAUUAGGCCAAACAUCUUCUCCCAGAGACAGACAAGCAACAAAUUAAACUACAUGUGGCUGGGUUCAAGAUAUACUGUACUGUAUAUGUGUUCUACAGAAGCAAGUUUUGUGACUUGAACAUAUCACACCCCUAGAGUCAGGUGUACAUUUUUUUUUUUUUUUUUUUU